This 468-nucleotide ribosomal RNA is filed under the name uncultured bacterium. RNAcentral describes it as "partial 16S ribosomal RNA". It matches the Rfam family "Bacterial small subunit ribosomal RNA", at positions 28 to 507 of the family's 1533-position model. The record is from RNAcentral.
GACGAACGCUGGCGGCGUGCUUAACACAUGCAAGUCGAACGGAAAGGCCCUGCUUUUGUGGGGUGCUCGAGUGGCGAACGGGUGAGUAACACGUGAGUAACCUGCCCUUGACUUUGGGAUAACUUCAGGAAACUGGGGCUAAUACCGGAUAGGAGCUCCUGCUGCAUGGUGGGGGUUGGAAAGUUUCGGCGGUUGGGGAUGGACUCGCGGCUUAUCAGCUUGUUGGUGGGGUAGUGGCUUACCAAGGCUUUGACGGGUAGCCGGCCUGAGAGGGUGACCGGCCACAUUGGGACUGAGAUACGGCCCAGACUACUACGGGAGGCAGCAGUGGAGAAUAUUGCACAAUGGGCGGAAGACUGAUGCAGCAACGCCGCGUGCGGGAUGACGGCCUUCGGGUUGUAACCCGCUUUCGCCUGUGACGAAGCGUGAGUGACGGUAAUGGGUAAAGAAGCACCGGCUAACUACGUG